RNAcentral lists this long non-coding RNA (482 nucleotides) under Homo sapiens (human). RNAcentral's name for it is "non-protein coding lnc-ISX-2:1". The record is from RNAcentral. Lineage: Eukaryota; Metazoa; Chordata; Mammalia; Primates; Hominidae.
CCAGAAACUAGGAGAGGAGCAUGGGGCAGGUUUUCUCCUAGUGCCUUCAGAGACACAUGGCCCUGCCGACACCUUGAGUUUGGAUUUUUGGCCUCCAGAACUGGGUACAAGCUGGAAAAGGGGAAAAUGAAUCAUGCUACAGGCCAAGUGUCCAUCACUGAUUCCCAGAGAUGCCCUUUGUGUGGUAGGCACUUCCAUGUGGACUCGCUACAGAGGUCAUAAGACCCUAAUUCCAGAGGGCCCUACCCUAUAACCAGAAGGAAGAACUAUUGCACAGAGAAUCUAAGAAGAAUCUAGACAGACAGCCCUUGCUGGAUUUCUCCACUCUGUUAGCAUUCGAUCAUUUGCCUUUUGUCCAGUCAUAUUUCUGCAUGGCUGUCCAUACUUUGUUGAACCUAAGCACAAAAUGGAAAGUUUUCCCUGUAUCUUUGGGUCGUCAUUCUGAAGGCUCCCAUGUUAUGUAAAACUAUGAUCAAAUAAAU